CACGUAGGGCGCAAGCGUUGUUCGGAGUUACUGGGCGUAAAGGGUGUGUAGGCGGUUCUUUAAGUUUGGUGUGAAAUCUCCCGGCUCAACCGGGAGGGUGCGCCGAAAACUGAAGGGCUAGAGUGCGGGAGAGGAGAGUGGAAUUCCUGGUGUAGCGGUGAAAUGCGUAGAUAUCAGGAGGAACACCGGUGGUGUAAACGGCUCUCUGGACCGUAACUGACGCUGAGACACGAAAGCGUGGGUAGCAAACAGG
Molecule: ribosomal RNA, 253 nt
Filed under: uncultured bacterium
Lineage: Bacteria
Description: partial 16S ribosomal RNA
Rfam family: Bacterial small subunit ribosomal RNA
Source: RNAcentral